Molecule: long non-coding RNA, 592 nt
Organism: Sitophilus oryzae (rice weevil)
Lineage: Eukaryota; Metazoa; Arthropoda; Insecta; Coleoptera; Curculionidae
Exons: 4
Source: RefSeq, a predicted model, not a curated record
CUAAAACCAGUAGUUCGAAAGAUAUAUUUAAAAAUAAAAGAUAAAAUCCAAAAAAUUAAUUAUCUAUUAACGUGGAUUUGGACGACAAUAGGUUUUUAGUUUGUGAUGUUUCAUGUGAUGAUCAUUUUCAUGUUCAUCGUCUUUGAAUUGACAUGAGGAUAUCUAUGGAAAAGUAACUAAUCUGAAAGUAAGCCAACAUAUCGUUUGUCCUUUGUGUGCUAAAGAAAAGAUUUUCUUUUCGCAUCGUGAGGAAGUAUUACAUCAAUUAAAAAAUGUUAGGAAGUUGAUUACUUGUCAUGGAAAAGUAUACCAAUGGAAAUUAUUUGUUAAAGAAGUAUAAUUCUAAGGGUUUUAAGAAUAAAUUGGUUGAACCCAAAAUCUGGAGGAAGUACCUAUAUCCAUACACAGAAUAUGCCCAUUAAGAAUACUAGUCCAAAUUUGCUUUAAUGGAACGAUUAGGGCCCGAUAUAUUUGAAACUCAUGUUGGACAUAGUAUUGAGUUGGGUAGAAUAUUAUUCUACGUUAAGUGAGGAUAUCAGAUACCUAUUAUUGUACUGUAUUUUAAUAUAUACAUUAGAAUUGUUGGUUUUUU